CUCAAACCACAAUCACAGUUGUCGGUUCCAGAAACAUCUUCUUUGGAAAAACAUGUGACAUAAGUUUCCUCAGAGUCUUCCGGAGAAUCCAGUCACACACAACUGAUAAAACCUUGUCCAGUGAGAAAAUACUUUCCUCCGUAAUUCAAGAUAAAGAAAAUUACAACCUCUGCUGUCCAUUCCAUUGCUUUUCCCUUCAGAAUCAUAAUCAGAGAAUCCUUGCAGAACGUCAUAAGUGUGCUCUCAGCUGCAAUCACCAGGAGGACUCUUCACACACGGUGAGUCCUCAUUUUAUAGAAGCCAAAGCAAUGACGUAUGCUCACCCCUCCCGCCCCCAGAAGAGAGGUUGCUGGCCAAUGAGCUUGAGCUUCGUCAUCCUUCCAAGCCCCACCGAGUUCCUUUGCUUCCCUUUCAACAACUUUGACUGAAAUGAAUAGGUUACAACCUUUAGCUUUCUGCCCCUUGGAAAACGGAAGCAUUUAGAUGUCUGUAUUAAUAUUUGGAUCUAGAGUGUUCAUGUUUUAGCACUUCCUUUUUUAAAAGGAGAAGCAGAUGUGUUGUGUUUUUAGGAACACUU
This 577-nucleotide long non-coding RNA is filed under the name Pongo abelii (Sumatran orangutan). Its description in RNAcentral is "lincRNA". The record is from RNAcentral. Lineage: Eukaryota; Metazoa; Chordata; Mammalia; Primates; Hominidae.